AUACAGAGGGUGCAAGCGUUAAUCGGAAUUACUGGGCGUAAAGCGCGCGUAGGUGGUUAGUUAAGUUGGAUGUGAAAGCCCUGGGCUCAACCUGGGAAUGGCAUUCAAAACUGGCUGACUAGAGUAUGGUAGAGGGAAGGGGAAUUCCAGGUGUAGCGGUGAAAUGCGUAGAUAUCUGGAGGAACAUCAGUGGCGAAGGCGCCUUCCUGGACUAAUACUGACACUGAGGUGCGAAAGCGUGGGUAGCAAACAGGAUUAGAAACCCUUGUAGUCC
Molecule: ribosomal RNA, 274 nt
Filed under: uncultured bacterium
Lineage: Bacteria
Description: partial 16S ribosomal RNA
Rfam family: Bacterial small subunit ribosomal RNA
Source: RNAcentral